Long non-coding RNA from Alexandromys fortis (reed vole), 4731 nucleotides. RefSeq lists it as uncharacterized. The transcript has 4 exons. Lineage: Eukaryota; Metazoa; Chordata; Mammalia; Rodentia; Cricetidae. The record is from RefSeq and is a predicted model, not a curated record.
AACUCCAUCAAGCCCUGAAGCUCAGAGAGCAGCUACAGAUGCACCGUGGAGCAGAACACUGGUGUCAAGUGUAGCAUUGUGGGAAACAACUACCCUAGCAGACGCCGCUGCAACUGCUUAAUCAAGAUAUUGUCUGAAGAAACUAGCUAGUGGAUGUGAAACCACCACCAGAACACCGCCCUCGGCACUCCAGAGGAACAGAGCAGCCCAAGAAGCUGGAUUCUGAGUUGGACACUUGAGAGUCAUCAAUCUCAGCUCCUGCCCCUUGUGGAUUUUGUGAGGUCGGUGGAAUCCGGCAGAAUGACAUUGAACUUUGCUGCAAUCAGCAGAUGAGGCUCAGAGCCGGCCCCUGAAGAACCACGAGAGCCUCGGGCGUGAACUUCACCAGGACUGAGAUCUUGCUACUCACUCUCAGUCCACCUGGAGAGUCACUUCCAAGAUCUCAUCGUACAGAAAAGGCCACUGGAGAGUUCCAAACUACCAGGGCUCUGCCGGCACCAUAGCUAGCCCACUAGGUGAUGUCACAGCACAUAUUGGCUUAAGAAAGACCCCGCGUGGCUCGCCUUCCUCCUCUAAAACUUACCCCACUGCAGACGGCUUCUCUCUUAAAGAAGGAGAAAGGACGAGUAAGCUAAGGAAGAGUGACUGCAGGGAUGAGCACUUCCUUUCACCUGAUUUUCUCGCAGAACUGGGUGGUUAGUUCAGCUUGGAGCUUGCCAAGAGCUGUGCUGAAAAGACUUUAACACAAAGGAGCACUGUGAGUGCUGGCUCACAACAGUCUCAAAACGGUGGUGUGAAAGACCGAGUAUUUGCUAUCACCUCACUGGGGAUAAACGGGGCUCAGCUAAGCAGUUCUCACAUCGGGUCUGUUGGAGAACUACAGUCAGAUUAUGUCUAUGCAGAGAGUAACUUCAAGCCUGGGCUGGGAGGGCUCACACAACUAGAGGCUAGGAUGGCUGGUCUUCCUCCCACAGUGUCCCUGAGUGAUCUCUCCAGAUAACUGUCUAACUUUGAUAGCACGAGAACAGCCAGAAUCCUUACAAGGAUGCUCGGGUGAGGGAGAGAGAGCAUCAGGGAAGCCUUAUCAGACUUUGAGUCAACCUCCCAAGGCAGGCCAUCACUUCGGUCAGCUUCUGCUUGCUAGAAACAAGACAACUAAGACCAACCUGUAUUCAAAGGAUGUAUAAUUACUCUCCAGCUUUUGAUGGAGGAGUGUCUAGGAGUGUGAGAACAUGUUUUAAAGCUAUCAUUAAUGGAAAAGUAAGCAUUUGCCCAUCAAUAAAUGCUAUUAGUGACAGUCAUGGCAACGCACGCCUGUGAUCCUAGUACAGUGAAGGCUGGAGGAGGAGAAGAGGGAGUCAGCCUGGGUUACACAGUGAGACCCUGUGUCAAUAAAACUUAAAUUUCAAAACAUGUGAUUCUUUUGAAAAACCAAAUUUAGGGCUAGUCUAACCUAAUCUAGGGAUAAAACAUAAAAUGCCUAGAGUUCUGCUGUCAAAUAUGGUAUCUACUAGCAUAAUUGGAUAUCGAAACUUAAAUUAGACUUAAUUAAUUAUAAUUUAGCUUUAAGUUAAUUAAAGUUAACUAGUUAGAGUUAAUUAACUGCCAUUUAAAUUAAUUUAAAAUAUCUUAAAUAAAAAUUUCUAAAUGCCUUUCUGUCUUAACAGCCAAUUUCAAAUGCUUCAUAGAUAUAUAUACACUUGGUACCAUCAUGUUGGGUACCACAAAUAAGAAACAUUUCCAUCAUCAAAAACAGUUCUCCCAGACAAUGCAGAUUUAGAAUGAUGAAACAAUAUAUCCUUCAGCUGUCAAUCAGAAUUGCUUUCCUCUAAUUAAGCUUCAGUAGGCACUGGGCAGGAGAGACAUCUAGCUUUUAACACUGGGCAAGAGUUACCCACGGUGUUGAUGAGGGAUACUCCACACUUAAGAAUCAACCAAGCAGAUGGUAGGUUCACCUCCCUUAAGAACGGAGUCUCCAACUCAAGCCCCCAAACAGCUGGCCAGCCCUCUUCCAUGUGGAGAUUUUCCAACUAAGGGUUGCCUUCAGUCGGCUUCCUAAAAGCUAUCUGCUUUAAAAGUGUGGUGAAGAAAAAUAAAAGCAAAUCUGCAAAGCUCAUUCUCUCACUCCUUCACUCAACCAACAUGUAUUGACCUGGUAUAAAUGCUGUGUGGUUGGUGCCUGAAUAAAAAUGUGAGCGGAUUUUACUGACUCCUCAGGCCCCCAAAGCAGACACACAAAUGUCAACAGGACAGCCCCCCAAAAUUUACCUUUAAGUAGUAUCCUUUAGUAGUGAAAACAUGAGAGAGAAAAAAAAUGGAUGCAAAAUGUACCUGACAAAGAUGAGAGAAUUAGCUCACCAGAUAUAAUUAACUAGAUAGUAGUCAAUUAAAUCAUAAAUGCUAUCGGUCAAAAAAGAUGAUUUUGAGUUUAGAAAUUUUGAAUUCAAGCAAUUCUAUUUUCCAAUAAGAUAAAGGGUCCAUUUCUCGUUAGUGACAAUAAAAUUAUAUCACCAGCAUAGAGAACAGUUAUUUUUAUACUCCUUAUAAUAGGGGUGAGUGCAGCUAGAUCAUGUCCUCGUUGUUUCAAAUCAUUUAGAUACAAAUUUUAAGAGAACUGCAAGAAGCAGAGUCAGAACAGGGUUCAAUUUUUCAAAGACUAGACAGAUAACUAGAAUUGUUAUCUGAUCUAUUACCGGACCACCCCCAGCAGCUCUUGGGGCCUAUGCUCAGAUGGUAUAGAAGAAUCAUAAUCUUGCAUCCCAGCUGUAAUGAAUGAUGCAUGCACCCCAUCACCUCCCCCAUCCCUGCUCCCCCAUUCUUACGUCAUUCUCUGCCUCUGGAGGCUAGCUUGUAUAAGAGGCACCUGCGGGUUCCCUUGCCCUCUUCCCUUCUAAAGGAGUUCUGCCGAGGGGAGGCACCAGCAGGAGAUUAGAGGAUGGAAAACUAGGAGGUUAGAGUAUCUGUCCCUCCAGCUCCCUUCCUGCCAGGCCGCCAUGGGUUGGCUGCAUUCCUUAACUAAAGGCUAUAGCUCACGUCGGGCAGUGUUCUUAAUAUAGUUAUGCUCUCUGAAUUGCACUAAUCCUCACUCCCUUUGAUCAUUCAGGCCUGUGAGGCUCAGUGUCUCCCUGCUAGUGUAAGACCUUGCAGGGUUUCCUCCAAACUCUUUGUACCUUUGUACAUUGUUCUUCUAACUAUUCAGUUUGUGUCAGAAACUGAUUUCUGAUGACCCCUGAUGAUACCAAUCCAUUACUGGUUUUAUGCAUGAAGAUCAAAAAUAACCAAUUAAAUUUAUAUGCAACCUUAGAGCUCCUAAAAUGCUUCUUUUUUUUUCUUUUCUAUUUUAUUUUUCCCCCUUUGUUUUUUUGAUACAGGGUUUCUCUGUGUACCUUUGGAGCCUGUCCUGGAACUAGCUCUUGUAGACCAGGCUGGCCUCAAACUCACAGAAAUCCGCCUGCCUCUGCCUCCCAAGUGCUGGGAUUAAAAGCGUGCCACUACUGCCUGCAUCUAAAAUGUUUCUUAACACAUUAUAAAGCACAUGGUCACUGGUGCAAUAUUGUACCUAAAUCCAAUGUGUUCCUUCUAAACUGUAUUAAGCAGAGAAAAGUCUGGACUAUUGUUUAGGAAAAGCAUUUCAAUGCAAUAUCCACCAAUAUGGUGAUACUGCAGUUGGAUAGAACAGUAUCACUUCUGAAGAGAGGCAAGAAUUCAGGGUCGUCAUGGACUAUACAACGAUCAUAAAAAAUUAAAGCAAGAGGAAUGAGGGUUUAGCAGAUAAAAUAGUACUUUUUAAGAAAACUACAGCCCAAAUUGGAGCAGAAUCCGAGCCGUUCUGGAUGUGAGGAGUCUUCAAAGAUGCUUUGUAACCAACAGUACCAUAUGAAGUACCACCAGCACUUAACCAACAAAGAGACUACCGAACCCAAAGAUUACUUCAGUUAUUCUUGGACUAAGGGCUCUGAGGCUGCCCUGCUCCUGACCAUUGUGUUGCUGUAAUGAAUGAAAUUCUUGAAGUUAGACAGUCUUACUUCCAGAUCUCUGAUUCAAAAUCACUUAUAAUGUAAGAGGAAUAGUAUUUCCAGUGUGGAGUAGUUGUGGGCAUUGGGUAUAAAACUACAUGCUCAUUACAAUCACUAACUGAAAUUCAAAAACAAAACUGAAAGGGACUAGACAGACGGUUCAGCAGUUAAGACCACUUACUGCUCUAGUAGAAGAAUGGAACUCAGUUCCCUGUGCCCGUGGCAGGUGGCUUGCAACCAUCUGUAACUCCAGCUCCAAGAUAUUAGACACUCUUUUAGCACCCUCAGGCACCCAUAAACAAAUGUCUAUGCAGACACCAUGGAGGAGGAAGAAACAGACAGACAGGUACAAAUUAACAUAAAAAUAAAUGCAUAAAUAAUUAAAUGUACAAAUCACACUUAAAAGAAUAACCCAAACCGCUGGGAACCAAAGACUCCCAUCUCAAGAUGACCCAGAAAAUCAGCAAGUGCACUGGGUGCGAUGGAGAACAGGCUGGUAAAGUAACCCAACCCAUGGGUUGCCUACAGUUCAAGAACAUAAGUAAUGGACGAAUUCCCUUGUUCUCUAAGGAAUAGUGACCUAAGAGAAUCAUCUAUUUCUGGAAGAGCUCUGGGUUUCCAUCUUCUCCCAAUAUGUUUCAGGGUUAAUUAACACACCCUCUGCCCCCCCCAUAGUGAUUGUUUCUUAUUCUACAAAAUACCUGGGAAGCCAGAG